This 4763-nucleotide unclassified non-coding RNA is filed under the name Leishmania donovani. RNAcentral's name for it is "gene:LdHU3.14.0410(CDS-product:amino_acid_permeas e_putative)". Lineage: Eukaryota; Euglenozoa; Kinetoplastea; Trypanosomatida; Trypanosomatidae. The record is from RNAcentral.
UGGUCACACGCAGUACAACACCUCUCUUGCCUUCCUCUCUUCCUCACUCUUACCAUCCACACCACCACCCGUUCACUGACACCCCUACCCACAAGCAUCUAUAUAACAAUCUGUCGCUUCCCCAAACCCCUCCAACUCCCUCCGCCACAGCCACCACCACCACCACAGCGCUGGCUUUUAUCGCACGGUCCACCUCCCCUCCCACACGCGCGCAAGAGCUUUUCUUUGGCGUUUCUGCUUGUGAAGAGGAGGAGGGAGAGGUAUACGCAUACCUACCUACAUAUUAUAUAUAUAUAUAUUCUAUAGAAUAUAUAUAUAUAUAUGUGAGCGAGAGACAGGAAGAGGGGGGACGAAAGACGCGAGCAAACAAAAACAAAGGCACACGCGUGCACCGUGGCACCUGCCGGCACUACCAACUCCUCUUCUUCGUCUUUGACCCACACCCGCCCUCUCUCGCUCUCCCUUCCUCUGUUUCUCGUUGCGUCGUCGUUCUUCUUUUUCUUGGGACCUCGACCCACUCACCCAAGCCCAGCCCGUCUGCCCCUCAUCGCAGCUCCGCGCACUGCCCUCUCUCUACUCAUUCGCGUUUUUUGUUGUUGCCUCGCUUUGUUUUCCUCGGGUGCACCCCACACGUGUCAUUCUAGCAGUGUGGCGUGUGUGCUGCGUCUUCAUUUUGUUGGCCGCACGCAGCAGCAGCAGCGGUAGUAGGGCACCCAUACGUGCAGCUCCCCCAACCAGUGGGCCAUAUCCACGUAGCACACGAACGUGGACUGCACGCACAAGCCACUGGUCGUCGUCGUUGUUUUUUUCUUCCUUUUCUGUCCUCUUUCCGUCAUCUUUCGCUCUUGUCGCUGGGCUCCCUGGCUGGCCAGCGUGUGUGCUCUUCGGUCUCUGAUCGGAUCACAGCUCGUGUGUCACUGUCCCGCCAUCGAUCCGCGGCCCACCCACCCACCCCCCUCCCCUCUCGUCUCCUACUCAGUCUCGCCGCAGCACUUGUGCAGCUCGUUUUAUUCGCGCCGGCCAAGGGACGUCCGCAUUGGCCCGCGCGGCCAUAGAUUUACGUGCACACCGAGACCGCCAUUUGUGUCUCUCCACUAUAGUGCAAGGAGCUACUGGCGUGCGUCUAGCUGUGUAUAGUCGUGUGUGUGUGUGUGCGCGCGCGUGGACGUGAGUGUGUCGGUGUUUGAUUGCGUGAGUGCGUACUUCUGUCCUCCUCCUUGUUUUGAUUGUUUGAGGUGGUGACACAACCACACUCACCAUCGAAGAAAACGCGGGCACACGCUCACAGCCGCAUCAUCACCACGCACUCGCGCUGGCUCUCCUUCUCCUCGCCUCUCUCUUAUUCACGCAAUCUCACAGGCGCCUCAGGCUUUGCUGUUGAUUUCUCGUUAAAUAUUCUUGGCUUGACGCCGUUGCCGCCUUUGCCGUGUGCGCGCGUGGGCAUCAUCGGCCCCCUCCCCCAUCGCUUGCUCGUUUUUUCUCUAGCAUCCGCGUGUCUGCCAUCCUGCCCUCAGCUCGCUGCUGCGGGCGGUUGUGUCGCAUCUGUCCCUCUACAGAUUUUCACCGAUCGUCCGCCACCCUCGCCACCACACCGGGCUGGGAUGCGCCAUGCCCGCGAACGCAGCGCAGCUACGGAUGGUACACAUGCUGGCGACGGCGACCUCGUCCACGCACCGUCAACGAUGAAAGAUGUCGUCAGCGUGAAUGGCAUCUCGCUCGGCUGCGGUGGCAGCGAGGACGAGAUGCUGGCCACCGCUGCCAACGGCAAGUUGGGUCGCUCGCGCCGCCACGUGGAAGUCAUCUUCCACCCGGAGCUACGGCGCACCAAGGAGGUGAUUCGGCGCCCAGAGUGGGUGCGCCGCGCUGGCGAAUGUGUCGCCCAUCGCGGCUCCCUCAGCACCAUCGCCCUCUUCGGCAUCAUGUUCGCCAACUGUGUUGGUGGCGGCUACGGCUUCGAGGAUGGCAUCGGGUCGGCUGGUCCCCUCAUCACGCUUAUUGUGUGUGGUAUCUUGCCGUGGUUGUGGGCCUUCCCUACCGGGUUGGCAGUCGCCGAGCUGUCCACCGCCGUGCCGAGCAACUCGGGUGUGCUGAUGUGGACGAACGCGGCGUUCCCACCCUUCAUGUCAUUUAUGUGCAUUCUUGCAACCAUCUUCAUCACCUUCAUUGGCAAUGCCACGUACCCGAACCUCACGGCCGAGUACGCACAGCAGUUGGGCAACCUCAAACUCGCUCCGGUGGCGGGUGUGAAGGUCGGUGUGGUGGCGCUCUGCUGCAUCCUCAACUGCGUCGGCGUCGAGAUCGUCGGCAGCUCCUCCAUCAUCCUCUGUGCCAUAACCAUUUUGCCCUUCACGCUGCUGACGGUGAUCCAACUCUUCUCCAAGGGCUUCAACAGGGCGGUGCUUUAUGUGGAUGUGAAGAAGGUGAAGUGGGCCGAGUUCUUCUCCAUCCUUAGCUGGAACUACGCCAACAUUGAAAACGCUGGCGCUGUCGUCGAGGAAGUCGCGAACCCGCGCCGAGCUCUUCCAAAGGCCAUGAUGAUGCUGAUGCUGAGCACGUACGUCGGCUACGUCAUGCCGAUGCUCGCUGGCGUGAGCGCCAUGGGUGUUAAUCAGGACUACUCGAAGUGGAAGGCGGGGCACUGGCCUGAGGUGGCGAAGGUGAUCGCCGGUGACUGGCUCAAGUACAUGCUGUUCGCCGGCGCGCUGCUCAGCGGCAUCGGCUUCACCCUGACCAGCAUGUGCUGCACGAGCCGGCUGCUGGCAGGCAUGGGCACCAUGCAGAUGUUCCCAAAGAAGGUGUCGAGGGUGAUCGGUUACUACCACCCGCGCCUUGGCACUCCCAUCCCGGCCAUCCUCAUCAACUCUCUCGUCACUCUCGUCUUCAGCGUGAGCAUGGAAUUCACCAGCGUCGUAUCGCUGUGUCAAUCUAUCUAUUGCCUCCGCAUGCUGCUCAUCUACGCGUCGCUCGUCAAGCUGCGCAUCGACUAUCCAAACCUGCCACGGCCCUACGCACUCCCCUUCAGCACCUGCACGACGGCAUUGGUGCUGCUGCCGGCGGCGGCCUUCUCGCUUAUGGCCUCGAUCGUGUCAGCCAUGACCUCCCUCGGCAUAGGCGUGGCGCUUGUCGGCUUCGUCGUCGUUGGAAGUGGUGUUUCGUGGUUGUACUGCCGCAUAUUUGCCCGCAACGGCUUUCAAGGCGUCAUUGUGCAGUGCGAGGUGUCCUCAGGUGACGACGCGGAGGCCGGCGCGGCCGACGGUGCCGACGGAAGCGCGCUGAGCGAGGGCGUCUUCUACGCGGAUGAAGAGCUCAACAGCGGCGAGCCGGUGGACGACCUUCUUCUCGGUAUUUUGCCGAUGCCUCUGGCCGCGCCAGGGCCGGUUGCAUCGACCACCUUGCCGCGCGGCAGCGAAGUCAAUUCCAGUCAGUGGCACGUGUGGCAUGGGAUGACAGACCGCGACGCCAUCGGCAGACAGGCGGGAGAGGAGAUGAUUGGCAUGGAGUACACCUCUCAGGACGGGCCCAACACGGAUAUAAUGUUUGUGAACAACAACGCGACAGAGCAUGCGCUGGGGAGCAGCACCGCUGGCUGCUCGCCAACAAGCAGCUUCCCCACCUACAGGGUCGCCUGCGGCGCUGAGACGACCAUGCGUCACCGCCACCGCGCCCGCAGCCACGGCGCCGGUGGCGGCGGAGGCGGUGCGACCAACAGCGGCAACUACGGCCCGGCCGUGAGCGGCGAGGAGAGCGGCGAGGAUACCGAUAUCACCCCCGCGGAGCAUAGCGGUGGCGGCUUCACAUUGUCAGCUACAGGUCGGCCUGUACAGGUGCUGUCGACAUCGCCGCCGCAACUGAUAUUGAGUCCACAGCAGGUUCUCCUCAAUGUGCCGGCCGCUGGCAGUUGGAGCAGCAGCCGAUCUCCAACGCCAGUCAGCGGUCGUCACAGCCCGAUCUUGACAAGCGCCAUAAAUAUGAACACGACCAGGAAGCCGCCCCCUCCCCCGACCUCUCUGUAAUUCAGCAGCUCCCCACGCCGGUGCAGGCGCGUCUGCUUGCUAUGCACCACUGCUGUCUGAGCACAUAGAUGCGCAUGCAUGAGGGUGGUUGGUUGAGUGCCCUUUGAAUGAGUUUGUGUGUGUGUGUGUAUGUGACGUUAUGGCGAGCGAGUGCGCGCCUCUUCUGGGCCGUUGACUCUCCUCUCGCUCCCCGCCACCCCUCACGUUCGUUUGCCGGUCUCGAGAGAGCACCUCGCGAGAGACACAGGCAAAUGGAGGCGACUACGUAAGUGCGAGUGCGUGUCCAUCUCCUCCAAGCUCCGCUCUUGUCAGUUUUCUUCUUGCUUCGCUCUUGUAUAUGUUGCUGGUUUCGGUGCUUCGUUUUCUGGUGUGUCUCCUGUUCGCCCACUCGGCAGGCUCCUCUGAAAGAGGCACCUUGUGUGUGUGCGUGUGUGUGUGUGUGUGUUUCGGCUUUUGUGUACGCGACCGCAUCCCUACUCCUCUCUCGCGCGUUCUCUACCUCUCCCGUGCGCUGCGCGACCUUCACGUGGCCCGCGUCAGCCCUUGUUGGUUUGUUUUUCCUUGCUAUACGUAUAUCCCUCUGCGGAUAAGGAGGAUGCACCCACUCCUCCAUUGUACAUAUAUAUAUAUAUAUAUAUCCGCAUGCACACACAUAUAUAUAUAUAUGCUUAAGUAUAUCUAUAUGUAUGUAUAUGCAUAAAGCACCGCAGGCUUGUCCACGACAGCCUCCAUAACGUUAAUGAACAGCAG